RNAcentral lists this ribosomal RNA (413 nucleotides) under uncultured bacterium. RNAcentral's name for it is "bacterial SSU rRNA". It matches the Rfam family "Bacterial small subunit ribosomal RNA", at positions 355 to 768 of the family's 1533-position model. The record is from RNAcentral.
UGAGGAAUAUUGCACAAUGGGCGCAAGCCUGAUGCAGCGACGCCGCGUGUGGGAUGAAGGGGCUACGCCUCGUAAACCACUGUAGCCCGGGACGAAAAACGCCUUAGAGGCGUUAGACGGUACCGGGAAAGUAAGGGUCGGCUAACUACGUGCCAGCAGCCGCGGUAAUACGUAGGACCCAAGCGUUGUCCGGAUUUACUGGGUGUAACGGGUGCGCAGGCGGAUGGGUAAGUCAGGGGUGAAAGUCUGCAGCUUAACUGUAGAAUUGCCUUUUAUACUGCUCAUCUUGAGUGUGGGAGAGGUUGAUGGAAUUCCCGGUGUAGCAGUGAAGUGCGUAGAUAUCUGGAAGAACACCAGUGGCGAAGGCGGUCAACUGGCCCAUAACUGACGCUCAUGCACGAAAGCGUGGGGAG